Molecule: ribosomal RNA, 249 nt
Filed under: uncultured Actinomycetes bacterium
Lineage: Bacteria; Bacillati; Actinomycetota; Actinomycetes
Description: uncultured actinobacterium partial 16S ribosomal RNA
Rfam family: Bacterial small subunit ribosomal RNA
Source: RNAcentral
GAUGAACGCUGGCGGCGUGCUUAACACAUGCAAGUCGAACGAUUAAACUGGCUUCGGCCAGAUAUAGAGUGGCGAACGGGUGAGUAACACGUGACCAACCUGCCCCGCGCUCCGGGACAACCGCUGGAAACGGCGGCUAAUACCGGAUGCUCCGGGGAGGCCCCAUGGCCUCCCCGGGAAAGCCUUAACGGCGCGGGAUGGGGUCGCGGCCCAUUAGGUAGACGGCGGGGUAACGGCCCACCGUGCCCG